Molecule: ribosomal RNA, 253 nt
Filed under: uncultured bacterium
Lineage: Bacteria
Description: partial 16S ribosomal RNA
Rfam family: Bacterial small subunit ribosomal RNA
Source: RNAcentral
GACGUAGGGUGCGAGCGUUGUCCGGAUUUAUUGGGCGUAAAGAGCUCGUAGGCGGCUCGUCGCGUCAGCUGUGAAAACCCGCGGCUUAACUGUGGGCUUGCAGCUGAUACGGGCGGGCUAGAGUUCGGUAGGGGAGACUGGAAUUCCUGGUGUAGCGGUGAAAUGCGCAGAUAUCAGGAAGAACACCCGUGGCGAAGGCGGCUUUCUGGGACGGUACUGACGCUGAGGCGCGAAAGCCAGGGGAGCAAACGGG